GUGCAUCGGCAGCUAUAAUGCAGUCGUGGGGUAACCCUGCAGCAAUGUAGGGCUAGACCGGCAAACGGGUGAGUAACACGUACGCAACCUGCCUCUAACUGGAGGAUAGCCCCUCGAAAGAGGGAUUAGUACUCCAUGAUGUUACGGAAGGGCAUCCUUCUGUGACCAAAGCUCCGGCGGUUAGAGAGGGGCGUGCGUCCCAUUAGGUAGUUGGUAGGGUAACGGCCUACCAAGCCAACGAUGGGUAGCUGGCGUGAGAGCGCGACCAGCCACACGGGCACUGAGACACGGGCCCGACUCCUACGGGAGGCAGCAGUAAGGAAUAUUGGUCAAUGGGCGCAAGCCUGAACCAGCCAUGCCGCGUGCAGGAUGAAGGCCCUCAGGGUUGUAAACUGCUUUUCUCAGGGAAGAAACCCUCGUUUUCUAACGAGGCUGACGGUACCUGAGGAAUAAGCACCGGCUAACUCCGUGCCAGCAGCCGCGGUAAUACGGAGGGUGCGAGCGUUAUCCGGAUUCACUGGGUUUAAAGGGUGUGUAGGCGGGCAGGUAAGUCAGCGGUGAAAGCCCCGAGCUUAACUUGGGAAUUGCCGUUGAUACUAUCUGUCUUGAAUGUUGUGGAGGCGAGCGGAAUAUGGCAUGUAGCGGUGAAAUGCUUAGAUAUGCCAUAGAACACCGAUUGCGAAGGCAGCUCGCUACGCAACCAUUGACGCUGAGGCACGAAAGCGUGGGGAGCAAACCGGAUUAGAUACCCUGGAAGUCCACGCC
This 765-nucleotide ribosomal RNA is filed under the name uncultured bacterium. RNAcentral's name for it is "bacterial SSU rRNA". It matches the Rfam family "Bacterial small subunit ribosomal RNA", at positions 33 to 801 of the family's 1533-position model. The record is from RNAcentral.